This 913-nucleotide long non-coding RNA is filed under the name Zostera marina. RNAcentral describes it as "long non-coding RNA (ZMAR_LNC004968)". Lineage: Eukaryota; Viridiplantae; Streptophyta; Magnoliopsida; Alismatales; Zosteraceae. The record is from RNAcentral.
AACAACAAAAAUAUCAAUCAAUCAAUCGAAGAAAUUGGUUUUUAUUUGUUUGGACUUUGGCGGCAUGGCAUACUUCCAGGGAACAUCUCCGACGAGCAUUCUGUCGCCUUCGAUAUCUUCGUACACCAAAGUGAACUCUCCAUCCAGUAACCCAGGACCUGUUAUCUUAUCUACACCAGGUUUAUUCUUCUUCUUCUUCAUUUUCUCCUCCUCUGUUUGAACUAUUUUUCAGAGAAAACACGUUACAGAAGUGAUGUAAUGCAAGAAUAGAUGAGAUGAUGUAUUGAAGUAGUGUUGUGUACCGGCAAAGAGAUCUCUGAAGAGUUCAUCGACAGCAGAUGACAGCUUGUAGUAACUGUUAUGGGUCUUGAGAUCUACUUUUCUCCCAAAAGGAAUUCCAUCCAUGUUGAUUUUCACCAACGUACUACUAGUAGCGGCGGUAGCAGAGCCUCUGAUCUCAAUCUUUUUAACCUCCGAUGAGGGUUUUGCAGAACUUGAAGAAGCUAUAUUCUUACGGAAAGAACGGAUCGGAGGCCAUCCGACAACAGAAGGAAGAUGGGUUGCAGAAACAGGUGUGUGGGAAGGUAUUUUUUGAAACCCACUUCGUUUCUCGCCGGCAGAGGAGUUGUUGGUAUUCUUGGAAGAUUUAUUAUGGAAGAGACUUAGAGUAAGACCAGAGCUAUCUUCUUCUUCUUCUCCUCUCUUCUGCUUAACCAUUGCCCAAUCUUCAUGCCCAGGUGGUGCAAGCCUUAGCUCGAGCUUCCUUUCAUCAGCAUACCCUAAAUCUGUUGGCGUCCAUUCUUGUUGACAUUUUGGAAUGAGAUCAAGAAGCCGAGGACUGGAGGUACCCAUAGUCGGAAGAUGGAAAUGGGGAAAGAGAAGGAUAGAAGUUAGUUCAAGGAAGGAAGAUAUU